RNAcentral lists this unclassified non-coding RNA (292 nucleotides) under Hevea brasiliensis (rubber tree). The record is from RNAcentral. Lineage: Eukaryota; Viridiplantae; Streptophyta; Magnoliopsida; Malpighiales; Euphorbiaceae.
CAGUUAGAAAAUGAAAUAAAACAAAAUACAAGAUUGACAGGAGGGAGGUCAGAUACAAUCUCCAACCUAUGGUACAAGAGAAAAGUAAAGUGGCCAAUAUAAAAAGAGGCCUGUUUGGUUUGACUAUUUUUCAAAAUUUUAUAUAUUUUCCCACUAAGUUGAAGGGCCAAAGUGUCAUGUCCAUGUCAAGGUAUCCUUAUCCAACAAAGCUACUUUAAGGAAAAGUGAAGGGUUGCUAUAACUAUGCUCCAAAGCUUAGUCUGAUCAACUAAAUAAACAAAACACCUGACAA